GAAGUCCAGAGUUUGAAAAGUGAUGGCCAACAAGAAAUCUGCUGUGCUAGGGAGCUCCCCCAAAUGACCACAACAGUCUGCCCAGGGCAGGAGGCUGGUGCAGGAGAUGACAUCAACUCCAUAUGUAAGCACACAUUUGCACCACUUCUCUAUCUGUCCAGGAAUUAUCAGACAUUCUGGUGACAGCGUGAGCCACCGCACCCAGUCUUGUGUCAUUUUUAAAGGACAUUUUAGUACGUUUUUGUUGAACCUAUGUUUGCCCCAUUAUUAGACUCUAAUCCCAAUAACAGUACCUCUCCCUGGAGCCAGUGUUAUCCACUUUAUUUACUUUUAUUUGUUAUCAUUGGCUUAUUUAUUUAAUAAUGUGCUAGCAUUUAGGGGGGAAAGGAAGAUUGUGUAACCAAGAUUCAAUAAACCAUGAUCCCUUCUUACAGGCCCUUUCCAUCUAGGAGGGAAUGUGGGCCAUACAUAUACAUUCCAAGAAAACCAAUAAUGAGUUAGCCCUGGUGAGACUGAAAGGUGUUUUGAACUGGGUUACUUGCUGGCUGUGGCUAUGAGAAGGUUCCUGGAAGCUUCUGCUCUUGCCUCCCCAGUGUUGGCCUUGAGCAAUCACUGUCUGCUCCCUGCUGCGAAAAACGAUGGCAAGAUCCUGAUUGCCUGUCCAGCUGUUGAGGGGUGGGUGAGAAAAUCCAAGCUGAAAUCCUGCUGGAGUGGGAGGAGCUGGGGACUGCCCUAGUCAUUGCCUCCUCCACCAUCCCAGCUAGCAGUGUCUCCUAGUGCUCCCACUCUGAAGCCCUGACCUGAAGUGACACCCAAAGGGUAGUGACUGUGGUUUUGUGCUGGACUAGGACUCCAGCUGGCCCUUCUUUCUCUUUACACACAUGACACUAACACAGAUAGUCACUAAUGGGCCAAAAUAAUAAGACCUUUAGGGAGUGCUGCCACCUCAAAAGAAAAACAGCAAACAGGACCAUCGAUGUCCUUGAAAGAAUUAGUAGAAAAUAUAGACCAGUCAUUUACAGUGAGAAUUAAAAGUGCACUUUAAAAGUAAAAAGCUACUAUAAUAUGAAAAAAAAAAAGAAAAUAUAGGAAAAACACCUAAAAGUUCUAGGUGUAAAAAAAAAAUAAUAAUAAUAAAAGCAAAAGCCACAUUAAUGGGAUAAAUAGUGGGAGAGAUGCAACUGAAAAACAAAACAGAAAGUUGGAGGACUACACUGAGAAGCUAGCUCAGAACAAGAGAGGGAAGAAUUGGGAAGUUAUCAAUAGAAAAGUCAAGGAAAAAAGGAGGAGAGAAUUGUCCAAAUAUACAUUAUAUGAGUUUCACAAAGACCAAAAAAAUAGAGGAGAAAAAUAGUUAAAGGAAUAAAAAAGAUGAAUUCCUGGACUUAAAAGAUAGAGAAGAUCCAUAAUGUCUUACAGAGAGAAGGAAAAACCCACUCUAGACACACUAGCAAAAUUUAAAAAUAUCAAAGACAAUGAGAAAAUUCUAAAAGAUUCCAGCAUGAAAGACUGACAUGGGAUUUUUUAACUGUGACAUUGGAUGUGAAAAAAAAAAUCGGAAUGAUCUUAUUUAGAAUAUUAAAGGGAAAAAAACUUCCAACAGAAUUUAUUACACAGUGAAACUUUUUUCAAAAGUGCUUGUAUAAUAAAACAAAUAUAUCAAGCAUACAAGGUUUCAGAAGGUUUGCUAUGCAAAUUCCCACAUUUUACACGUUUUGGAAGAAUUCUAAUCAGAGAAAGCAUUCUAGAAGGUGCCAAAAGAUAUGAGAAGUAAUGUUGACCAAAUACUUUGGUGAAGGAGAAAAUAUGUGAAUAAAUUUGAAAGCAUGCUAAAGUUCUUAUCCAGUCAGAGGGAAGCUGGGGAAGAUAUCAGUAACACACACACACACACACACACACACACACACAUACACACAAGG
RNAcentral lists this long non-coding RNA (1919 nucleotides) under Macaca fascicularis (crab-eating macaque). RNAcentral's name for it is "lncRNA (ENSMFAG00000049231.1)". The record is from RNAcentral. Lineage: Eukaryota; Metazoa; Chordata; Mammalia; Primates; Cercopithecidae.